AUUCCAGCUCCGCAGGUAUAUAUCUAUGCUGCUGCGGUUAAAAAGCUCGUAGUUGGAUCUGCGUGCUCGGAACUGGUUGGCUCACUGAGUUCAAACUGGUCUCCGGCGCUUUAUUUGCUGGUUUUCCCUUGAUGCUCUUAACCGGGUGUCUCGGGUGGCUAGCGUGUUUACUUUGAAAAAAUUAGAGUGCCCAAUACAGGCGCAAAGCCUUGAAUAGUGGUGCAUGGAAUAAUAGAAUAGGACCUCGGCUCUAUUUUGUUGGUUUUCGGAACACGAGGUAAUGAUUAAGAGGGACAGACGGGGGCAUUCGUAUUGCGACGUUAGAGGUGAAAUUCUUGGAUCGUCGCAAGACGGACGACUGCGAAAGCAUUUGCCAAGAAUGUUUUCAUUAAUCAAGAACGAAAGUUAGAGGUUCGAAGGCGAUCAGAUACCGCCCUAGUUCUAACCGUAAACGAUGCCAACUAGCGAUUCGCAGGCGUUAAACAACGACCUUGCGGGCAGCUUCCCGGAAACGAAAGUGUUCCGGUUCCGGGGGAAGUAUGGUUGCAAAGCUGAAACUUAAAGGAAUUGACGGAAGGGCACCACCAGGAGUGGAGCCUGCGGCUUAAUUUGACUCAACACGGGAAAACUCACCCGGCCCGGACACCGUAAGGAUUGACAGAUUGAGAGCUCUUUCUUGAUUCGGUGGGUGGUGGUGCAUGGCCGUUCUUAGUUGGUGGAGCGAUUUGUCUGGUUUAUUCCGAUAACGAACGAGACUCUGGCCUACUAAAUAGUGGGCGGAUUCUUUCUGUCCGCAACACUUCUUAGAGGGACAAGCGGUGUUCAGCCGCACGAGAUUGAGCAAUAACAGGUCUAUGAUGCCCUUAGAUGUCCGGGGCUGCACGCGCGCUACACUGAAGGAAUCAGCGAGCUUUCUGACCUUGCCCGAAAGGGCUGGGUAACCCGAUGAAAAUCCUUCGUGAUUUGGAUAGGGACUUGCAAUUAUUUCCCUUGAACGAGGAAUUCCCAGUAAGUGUGGGUCAUAAGCUCGCGUUGAUUACGUCCCUGCCCUUUGUACACACCGCCCGUCGCUGCCCGGGACUGAGCCGUUUCGAGAAGAACAGGGACCGUCGUUGAAGGGCCCUAACGGGCUUUUCUCUAAUAGAAACUGUUUUAAUCGCAGUGGCUUGAACC
Molecule: ribosomal RNA, 1173 nt
Filed under: metagenome
Description: SSU rRNA
Rfam family: Eukaryotic small subunit ribosomal RNA
Source: RNAcentral